RNAcentral lists this ribosomal RNA (436 nucleotides) under Maxanapis bartle. RNAcentral describes it as "partial 16S ribosomal RNA". Lineage: Eukaryota; Metazoa; Arthropoda; Arachnida; Araneae; Anapidae. The record is from RNAcentral.
UUUUUAAAGAAAAAUAAUUUUAAGUAAAAUCUGCUCAAUGUUUAAUAAAUAGCCGCUAAUCGUGCUAAGGUAGCAUAAUCACUCGCUUAUUAAUUAUAAGAUAGAAUGAAUGAUUUAACAUUUUUAUUCUUAUUUUAAUUUAAUUAUUUAAAUUUUGAUUUUAAAUAAAAAUAUUUAAAUAUAAAAAAAAGACGAUAAGACCCUAUCGAACUUAACUUAAGUUAAGUUGGGACAACUAAUUAAUUAUAAUUUUAAUUUUUAAAAAAAAAAACUUAUCUAGUAUUAUUAAAUAAAUCAAGUUACCGUAGGGAUAACAGCGCAAUUAUUUUUAAAAGCUCUUAUUUAAAAAAUAGAUUACGACCUCGAUGUUGAAUUAUAAACUCUUAUAUAAGCAAAAAUAUAUAAAGAAAGUCUGUUCGACUUUAAAUUUUAUACA